Molecule: ribosomal RNA, 391 nt
Filed under: uncultured Glomeromycotina
Lineage: Eukaryota; Fungi; Glomeromycota
Description: SSU rRNA
Rfam family: Eukaryotic small subunit ribosomal RNA
Source: RNAcentral
AGCAGCCGCGGUAAUUCCAGCUCCAAUAGCGUAUAUUAAAGUUGUUGCAGUUAAAAGCUCGUAGUUGAACUUCGGGAUCAAUGGAUCGGUCAUGCCUUGGUAUGUACUGAUCAUAUUGGUUCUCACCUUCUAACGAACCAUAAUGUCAUUCAUUUGAUGUUAUGGGGAAUUAGGACUGUUACCUUGAAAAAUUAGAGUGUUUAAAGCAGGCUCACGCUUGAAUACAUUAGCAUGGAAUAAUGAAAUAGGACAUCGCAUUCUAUUUUGUUGGUUUCUAGGAUCGAUGUAAUGAUUAAUAGGGAUAGUGGGGGCAUUAGUAUUCAAUUGUCAGAGGUGGAAUUCUUGGAUUUAUUGAAGACUAACUACUGCGAAAGCAUUUGCCAAGGAUGUU